UUUCUAAUCCCUCCGUCUGAAAAUAAUUGUCAUCAAAAUGGAUCAAAAGAGAUUUAUCUAAAACUAAAAUACGUCUAGAUACAUUUCCUUUUAUCCAUUUUGAUGAAAAGUAUUUCCGGACGGAGGGAGUAUUUG
Non-coding RNA from Triticum aestivum (bread wheat), 135 nucleotides. Lineage: Eukaryota; Viridiplantae; Streptophyta; Magnoliopsida; Poales; Poaceae. The record is from Rfam.